UACGUAGGGUGCAAGCGUUGUCCGGAAUUAUUGGGCGUAAAGAGCUCGUAGGCGGUCUGUCGCGUCUGCUGUGAAAGCCCAAGGCUUAACCUCGGGUCUGCAGUCGAUACGGGCUAGCUAGAGUGUGGUAGGGGAGAUCGGAAUUCCUGGUGUAGCGGUGAAAUGCGCAGAUAUCAGGAGGAACACCGGUGGCGAAGGCGGAUCUCUGGGCCAUUACUGACGCUGAGGAGCGAAAGCGUGGGGAGCGAACAGG
Molecule: ribosomal RNA, 253 nt
Filed under: uncultured bacterium
Lineage: Bacteria
Description: partial 16S ribosomal RNA
Rfam family: Bacterial small subunit ribosomal RNA
Source: RNAcentral